GGAGAACAACAGUUCACGCGCAGGUGGUGCCCUCUGCGCGCUCCAUCAAACGGGGUGAUGGCCCCCUAUGGUUUGACCUCGGAUCAGGUGGGAGGACCCGCUGAACUUAA
This 110-nucleotide ribosomal RNA is filed under the name Cladosporium colocasiae. RNAcentral's name for it is "partial 28S ribosomal RNA". The record is from RNAcentral. Lineage: Eukaryota; Fungi; Ascomycota; Dothideomycetes; Cladosporiales; Cladosporiaceae.